GAUGAACGCUGGCGGCGUGCCUAAUACAUGCAAGUCGAGCGAACAGACGAGGAGCUUGCUCCUCUGACGUUAGCGGCGGACGGGUGAGUAACACGUGGAUAACUUACCUAUAAGACUGGGAUAACUUCGGGAAACCGGUGCUAAUACCGGAUAAUAUAUUGAACCGCAUGGUUCCAUAGUGAAAGACGGUUUUGCUGUCACUUGUAGAUGGAUCCGCGCCGCAUUAGCUAGUUGGUAAGGUAACGGCUUACCAAGGCAACGAUGCGUAGCCGAUCUGAGAGGGUGAUCAGCCACACUGGAACUGAGACACGGUCCAGACUCCUACGGGAGGCAGCAGUAGGGAAUCUUGCGCAAUGGGCGAAAGCCUGAUCGAGCAACGCCGCGUGAGUGAUGAAGGCCUUCGGGUCGUAAAACUCUGUUAUUAGGAAAGAACAACUGUGUAAGUAACUAUGCACGGCAUGACGGUACCGGAUCAGAAAGCACCGGCUAACUACGUG
This 497-nucleotide ribosomal RNA is filed under the name uncultured bacterium. RNAcentral's name for it is "partial 16S ribosomal RNA". It matches the Rfam family "Bacterial small subunit ribosomal RNA", at positions 28 to 507 of the family's 1533-position model. The record is from RNAcentral.